GAAUUUAUUUAGGUUAAAGUUAUCAGCAGUUCUUAAGCUGUCCUCUAGAUUUGUACCCUGACUCUCACAGACAAGGCUACUGGGCUCCUCACUUCCAAAGCAGCACGUACAGACGGAGGCUCUUUGAAAGAAGGUGUGCGUCCUCUUUGAAAACAUAGCUGCCUGCUGUAUGAUUUCAGCCCAUGAUGAACAGUGCAUCGAUGCUGAGCACAACUACCCUAAGAGAUGUGCCAUUACGCGCUAUUACUGGAAUCGGCUGCUGGAAAUACAGACUAUGACAGAGCACCACAGCAAAGCAGCGUGGUGUUUUCAUGCAGAAAGGCAGAUUCCAUCACAGUCCCGGACCACAGUCAGCAAGCAUUAGACUGCUGCUAUCGGGUAGAGUCAUUCUAGCCAAGACACAAGAUUUAGCAGAUGUUUAGCAAAAGGUUCCAUUCGUCUUGCCACAGACACAUGUGGAGCUGUCAAGAGUCUAGUAAAGAUUUUACAAGUUUUAUAAGUCAUAGUUUAUUGAGCUUGGGAAAGAAUUUAAUAUGGCAUCACGAUCUUGGAAGCUGUUUUUUUUCUGGCAUAACAUGUUUUAAUUUGUUUCUAAAGGUCAGUAAGGAUGGAGAAAUAUGGCUUGCUGGCAUGGCGGAGAGCAUGAUGGAGGUAAAGGAGACGACCACUUUGAGAAGAAGACUCACUGCAUCUGAAACACAUGCUGCUGAGGACAACCGGUCUGUUCAUGGGCCCCCAGAAGUGGAGCUGCUUGUCCAAAAGAUGUUGUUGUCCAAAGAUACCCCACAGGUAGUCGAGGACCCUGUGGAUCAACAGCAGAGCUGGGAACAUGAGCCAACUCUGAGGCUCUUCAGGGAAAUACUCUGUGAAACGUAACAAUAGAGAUGCGGUGAGGAUAACCGAGGGAUGUCGAUUCUGAUGCAGACAGAAAGGAGCUUCAGAUGCAGUUUUCCUCCUGGGGCUGGAGAGGAGAGCAGGAGGAGGAAAACAAGGCAACCUCCAGCAGUGUUUCUGAGCCUUCUGGAACAGACAGAGAUAGGUCGCUAAGCCCUUGAGGCUGAAGAGGGAUGUUCCCUAAAUAUAAAAUUCUGAUAAAUCUCCUUAUGCUUCUCCUUGAUGCUUUUUGUAUAACUCACCAUUCUGCAACAGCCCAGAGUCAGGAUCUGUGAUUAAAUUCAGCUUUUCAGGGUCCUGGAUAUAUUUAUAAGGGAUUGCUAAUUGUUACCCUUUAUUCAAAAAUAAAUGCAACAUCUCUCACUCUCCCUGUUUAAAG
This 1273-nucleotide long non-coding RNA is filed under the name Anser brachyrhynchus (Pink-footed goose). RNAcentral's name for it is "lncRNA (ENSABRG00000012039.1)". The record is from RNAcentral. Lineage: Eukaryota; Metazoa; Chordata; Aves; Anseriformes; Anatidae.